RNAcentral lists this ribosomal RNA (812 nucleotides) under Bacillus subtilis. RNAcentral's name for it is "bacterial SSU rRNA". It matches the Rfam family "Bacterial small subunit ribosomal RNA", at positions 556 to 1368 of the family's 1533-position model. Lineage: Bacteria; Bacillati; Bacillota; Bacilli; Caryophanales; Bacillaceae. The record is from RNAcentral.
GGGCGUAAAGGGCUCGCAGGCGGUUUCUUAAGUCUGAUGUGAAAGCCCCCGGCUCAACCGGGGAGGGUCAUUGGAAACUGGGGAACUUGAGUGCAGAAGAGGAGAGUGGAAUUCCACGUGUAGCGGUGAAAUGCGUAGAGAUGUGGAGGAACACCAGUGGCGAAGGCGACUCUCUGGUCUGUAACUGACGCUGAGGAGCGAAAGCGUGGGGAGCGAACAGGAUUAGAUACCCUGGUAGUCCACGCCGUAAACGAUGAGUGCUAAGUGUUAGGGGGUUUCCGCCCCUUAGUGCUGCAGCUAACGCAUUAAGCACUCCGCCUGGGGAGUACGGUCGCAAGACUGAAACUCAAAGGAAUUGACGGGGGCCCGCACAAGCGGUGGAGCAUGUGGUUUAAUUCGAAGCAACGCGAAGAACCUUACCAGGUCUUGACAUCCUCUGACAAUCCUAGAGAUAGGACGUCCCCUUCGGGGGCAGAGUGACAGGUGGUGCAUGGUUGUCGUCAGCUCGUGUCGUGAGAUGUUGGGUUAAGUCCCGCAACGAGCGCAACCCUUGAUCUUAGUUGCCAGCAUUCAGUUGGGCACUCUAAGGUGACUGCCGGUGACAAACCGGAGGAAGGUGGGGAUGACGUCAAAUCAUCAUGCCCCUUAUGACCUGGGCUACACACGUGCUACAAUGGACAGAACAAAGGGCAGCGAAACCGCGAGGUUAAGCCAAUCCCACAAAUCUGUUCUCAGUUCGGAUCGCAGUCUGCAACUCGACUGCGUGAAGCUGGAAUCGCUAGUAAUCGCGGAUCAGCAUGCCGCGGUGAAUA